AGAGUUUGAUCCUGGCUCAGGAUGAACGCUGGCGGCGUGCUUAACACAUGCAAGUCGAACGAAGAAGAGUUGAAUCGAGAGCUUCGGCAGGAUUUCUUCUCAUCUUAGUGGCGGACGGGUGAGUAAACGUGUGGGCAACCUGCCCUAUACUGGGGAAUAAUCACUGGAAACGGUGACUAAUACCGCAUGUCAUCACCGGAGGGCAUCCUCUGGUGAAAAAAGGAGCAAUUCGGUAUAAGAUGGGCCCGCAUCUGAUUAGCUAGUUGGAGAGAUAACACCCCACCAAGUCGACGAUCAGUAGCCGACCUGAGAGGGUGAUCGGCCACAUUGGGACUGAGACACGGCCCAAACUCCUACGGGAGGCAGCAGUGGGGAAUAUUGCACAAUGGGGGAAACCCUGAUGCAGCAACGCCGCGUGAAGGAUGAAGGUUUUCGGAUCGUAAACUUCUAUCAACAGGGAAGAAACAAAUGACGGUACCUGAAUAAGAAGCCCCGGCUAACUACGUGCCAGCAGCCGCGGUAAUACCUAGGGGGCAAGCGUUAUCCGGAAUUACUGGGUGUACAAGGGAGCGUAUGCGGCAUGUCAAUCCAGAUGUGAAAGCCCGAGGCUUAACCUCACGGAUUUCAUUUGGAACUGGCAAGCUAGAGUACAGGAGAGGAAAGCAGAAUUCGUAGAGUAGCGGUAAAAUGAGUAGAUAUUAGGAAGAACACCAGUGAAGAAGGCGGCUUUGUGUACUGAAACUGACGAUGAGGCUAGAAAGCGUGAGCAGCAAACAGGAUUAGCUACCCUGGUACUCCACGCCGUAAACGAUGAUUGCUACGUUGUUGGGGAGGAAAUCUCGGUGCCGCAACUAACCCAAUAAGCACUCCCCCUGGGGAGAACGUCCCAAGAAUGAAACUCAAAGGAAUUGACGGGGACCCGCACAACCGCUGGAGCAUGUGGAUUAAUUGGACGCAACGCGAAGACCCUUACCUCCUCUUGACAUCCCUCUGACGGGACAGUAAUGUGUCCUUUCCUUCGUCACAGAGGAGACAGGUGGUGCAUGGUCGUCGUCAUCUUGUGUCGUGAGAUGUUGGGUUAAGUCCCGCACCGAGCGCAACCCUUAUCCUUAGCAGCCAGCGGUCUGCCCGGGCACUCUAGGGAGACUGCCGGGGUCAACCCGGAGGAAGGUGGGGAUGACGUCAAAUCAUCAUGCCCCUUAUGAGCAGGGCUUCACACGUGAUACAAUGACGACUACAAAGAGACGGGAUACCGCGAGGUCGAGCACAUCCCCAAAAAGUGGUCUCAGUUCGGAUUGUAGUCUGCAACUCGCCUACAUGAAGCUGGAAUCGCUAGUAAUCGCGAAUCAGCAUGUCGCGGUGAAUACGUUCCCGGGUCUUGCACACACCGCCCGUCA
RNAcentral lists this ribosomal RNA (1397 nucleotides) under uncultured bacterium. Its description in RNAcentral is "bacterial SSU rRNA". It matches the Rfam family "Bacterial small subunit ribosomal RNA". The record is from RNAcentral.